This 893-nucleotide ribosomal RNA is filed under the name uncultured bacterium. RNAcentral describes it as "bacterial SSU rRNA". It matches the Rfam family "Bacterial small subunit ribosomal RNA", at positions 21 to 904 of the family's 1533-position model. The record is from RNAcentral.
GGCUCAGGAUGAACGCUAGCUACAGGCUUAACACAUGCAAGUCGAGGGGAAACGAUAUUGGAAGCUUGCUUCCGAUAGGCGUCGACCGGCGCACGGGUGAGUAACGCGUAUCCAACCUGCCCACCACUUGGGGAUAACCUUGCGAAAGUAAGACUAAUACCCAAUGAUAUCUCUAGAAGACAUCUGAAAGGGAUUAAAGAUUUAUCGGUGAUGGAUGGGGAUGCGUCUGAUUAGCUUGUUGGCGGGGUAACGGCCCACCAAGGCGACGAUCAGUAGGGGUUCUGAGAGGAAGGUCCCCCACAUUGGAACUGAGACACGGUCCAAACUCCUACGGGAGGCAGCAGUGAGGAAUAUUGGUCAAUGGGCGAGAGCCUGAACCAGCCAAGUAGCGUGCAGGAUGACGGCCCUAUGGGUUGUAAACUGCUUUUAUAAGGGAAUAAAGUGAGCCUCGUGAGGCUUUUUGCAUGUACCUUAUGAAUAAGGACCGGCUAAUUCCGUGCCAGCAGCCGCGGUAAUACGGAAGGUCCGGGCGUUAUCCGGAUUUAUUGGGUUUAAAGGGAGCGUAGGCCGGAGAUUAAGCGUGUUGUGAAAUGUAGACGCUCAACGUCUGCACUGCAGCGCGAACUGGUUUCCUUGAGUACGCACAAAGUGGGCGGAAUUCGUGGUGUAGCGGUGAAAUGCUUAGAUAUCACGAAGAACUCCGAUUGCGAAGGCAGCUCACUGGAGCGCAACUGACGCUGAAGCUCGAAAGUGCGGGUAUCGAACAGGAUUAGAUACCCUGGUAGUCCGCACGGUAAACGAUGGAUGCCCGCUGUUGGUCUGAAUAGGUCAGCGGCCAAGCGAAAGCAUUAAGCAUCCCACCUGGGGAGUACGCCGGCAACGGUGAAACUCAA